Molecule: ribosomal RNA, 253 nt
Filed under: uncultured prokaryote
Description: partial 16S ribosomal RNA
Rfam family: Bacterial small subunit ribosomal RNA
Source: RNAcentral
ACGAAGGGUGCAAGCGUUACUCGGAAUUACUGGGCGUAAAGCGUGCGUAGGCGGUUUGUUAAGUCCGUUGUGAAAGCCCUGGGCUCAACCUGGGAAUUGCAGUGGAUACUGGCGAGCUAGAGUGCGGUAGAGGAUGGUGGAAUUCCUAGUGUAGAGGUGAAAUUCGUAGAUAUUAGGAAGAACACCGGUGGCGAAGGCGGCCCACUGGUCCGGUACUGACGCUGAGGUGCGAAAGCGUGGGGAGCAAACAGGA